GGGGGAGGAGCCCCGAGCCAGGGUCCAGUUACCUGGUGACCCUGGGAGAAGGCUCUGGACAAAGGGGAAGGGUCACGAGGUGAUGGACACAUCACCUGGGAGGAGACAGGGGGAUGAGUCAGGGAUUUUGGGGUUUGAUGGACAUACAGGUGCUGAUGGGAAAGCUGGGAUGAAGCAAACGGAUACAAAGAGGGGAUAUGGAGGGACAAACCAUUAUGAGGGGAUAUACAGGGCGAGCACAACUCCACACUGAUGUGUCUACAUGUGGGCCCCUCUGAAGCAGGAAGUCCUUGAGGCGCUGGGCGUGUGCAGAGAAGGACACGGGAGCUGGGGAAGGGUGUGGAGCCCAAGGCCAAGGAGGAGGUGCUCAGGGUGUUUCAGCCUGGACAAUGGGAGGCUCGUGAGGGACUUUCAGGCACACUUCCAUAGAUCCAUAUGUGACAGUGCUCAUCACCAUGGCUGUUCCCCUGCCAAACAUGCCCUCACUGCCUCCAAGUGUUGUAGCCACCUGAGGAGGGGACACUUUUGACUUGGUUUGACUUGGUUUGACUUGGUUUGUUAGGAGGUAAAGCCCUGUUGAUUUUCUCAUUUUCCAACAAGCACAGAUGCUUCUUCACAACGUUUCCUGCCCUUUCCUUGCACUGGUUGGGAUUCUGAUCCAGUUUGAGUUUUCCAUGUCUGCCGCAGCAACAGCAAAGGCCUUGCUGGCUAUUUCCUACUUUUGCAUUUCAGGGCUUUAAAGAGCCAAAAGCUCCUUUGUGCCAAGGCACAGUUGCUUGCUGACGGCAGCCAGGAAGGACUGUCAAAUACAUAGAGUGCAUCAAAUAGAGUUCUGUUGAGUUAGCCCAUUUUAAUCUGGUCAGAGUGACUUAGAAUCGCAUUGCUAACAAAGUGGAGAAUUUUUCCUUUUAAGAGGUGGUUGUGGAUCCGAGGAGAAACGAGAUUAUAAAUGAUAGGUAACGGCUUGUCCUUCAUGCUUCUCUCUUGCCACAGAUGACAGAGACACCAGCAGUGUCUGCCCUGGCUCCCUCUCCUCCUGGUGAACAAGCCAAAGAGGAGCAAAUUGAGGAGUAUGACCUUGAGGCUCAAUCAGGGGUCACACCAGAGCCCGAAUCUUCAGAGGCAAUGACAGAGGCAACGACAGUGUCUGCCUUGGCUCCCUCUGCUCCUUGUGAAGAAGCCAAAGAGGAGCAAAUUGAGGAGUAUGACCUCGAGGCUCCAUUAGUGGUCACGCCUGAGCCUGAAUCUCCUGAGCCAAUGACAGAGGAAACAACAGUGUCUGCCCUGGCUCCCUCUCCUCCUGGUGAAGCCGAAGAGGAAAAAAUUGAGGAGUAUGACCGCGAGGCUCCAUCAGUGGUCACACCUGAGCCUGAAUCUUCUGAGCCAAUGACAGAGACACCAGCAGUGUCUGCCCUGGCUCCCUCUCCUCCUGGAGAAGAAGCCAGAGAGGAGCAAAUUGAGGAGUAUGACCUUGAGGCUCAAUCAGGGGUCACACCAGAGCCCGAAUCUUCAGAGGCAGUAAGUGCCCUUUGUGGGUGGAGCUGUCUUUAGUGCAAGGCA
Molecule: long non-coding RNA, 1560 nt
Organism: Taeniopygia guttata (zebra finch)
Lineage: Eukaryota; Metazoa; Chordata; Aves; Passeriformes; Estrildidae
Source: Ensembl